UAUUGCCCGUGGUAUCUAAUGUCCACACAUUCAUUUAAAUGGUUGGACAUUUCGUUUUGAGGGCAUAGAUUAAUUAUACACAGGUCUUGCGACACAGUCAGCUUCUUAUAUUAACGCACAAGCUUUCUGUUACUAAAUCCCUGCGUACAUAU
Molecule: small nucleolar RNA, 152 nt
Filed under: Cucumis sativus (cucumber)
Lineage: Eukaryota; Viridiplantae; Streptophyta; Magnoliopsida; Cucurbitales; Cucurbitaceae
Description: snoRNA snoF1_F2
Source: RNAcentral